This 520-nucleotide ribosomal RNA is filed under the name uncultured Glomus. RNAcentral describes it as "SSU rRNA". It matches the Rfam family "Eukaryotic small subunit ribosomal RNA", at positions 569 to 1091 of the family's 1831-position model. The record is from RNAcentral. Lineage: Eukaryota; Fungi; Glomeromycota; Glomeromycetes; Glomerales; Glomeraceae.
AGCAGCCGCGGCAAUUCCAGCUCCAAUAGCGUAUAUUAAAGUUGUUGCAGUUAAAAAGCUCGUAGUUGAAUUUCGGGAUCGACGGGUCGGUCGCGCCUCCGGUGUGUAUUGGCCCUGUCGGUUUCUCCCUUCUGACGAACCACGAUGUCAUUAAUUUGAUGUCGUGGGAAAUCAGGACUGUUACUUUGAAAAAAUUAGAGUGUUUAAAGCAGGCAUUCGCUUGAAUACAUUAGCAUGGAAUAAUGAAAUAGGACGUUUGAUCUUAUUUUGUUGGUUUCUAAGAUCGACGUAAUGAUUAAUAGGGAUAGUUGGGGGCAUUAGUAUUCAAUUGUCAGAGGUGAAAUUCUUGGAUUUAUUGAAGACUAACUACUGCGAAAGCAUUUGCCAAGGAUGUUUUCAUUAAUCAAGAACGAAAGUUAGGGGAUCGAAGACGAUCAGAUACCGUCGUAGUCUUAACCAUAAACUAUGCCGACUAGGGAUCGGAUGAUGUUAAUUUUUAAUGACUCAUUCGGCGCCUUAA